GGCAGGCGGAAAACGAGUUAACUGAACCUUCGGGGAACGUUAACGGCGUCGAGCGGCGGACGGGUGAGUAAUGCCUGGGAAAUUGCCCUGAUGUGGGGGAUAACCAUUGGAAACGAUGGCUAAUACCGCAUAAUAGCUUCGGCUCAAAGAGGGGGACCUUCGGGCCUCUCGCGUCAGGAUAUGCCCAGGUGGGAUUAGCUAGUUGGUGAGGUAAUGGCUCACCAAGGCGACGAUCCCUAGCUGGUCUGAGAGGAUGAUCAGCCACACUGGAACUGAGACACGGUCCAGACUCCUACGGGAGGCAGCAGUGGGGAAUAUUGCACAAUGGGCGCAAGCCUGAUGCAGCCAUGCCGCGUGUGUGAAGAAGGCCUUCGGGUUGUAAAGCACUUUCAGUCGUGAGGAAGGUAGUGUAGUUAAUAGCUGCAUUAUUUGACGUUAGCGACAGAAGAAGCACCGGCUAACUCCGUGCCAGCAGCCGCGGUAAUACGGAGGGUGCGAGCGUUAAUCGGAAUUACUGGGCGUAAAGCGCAUGCAGGUGGUUAGUUAAGUCAGAUGUGAAAGCCCGGGGCUCAACCUCGGAACUGCAUUUGAAACUGGCUGACUAGAGUACUGUAGAGGGGGGUAGAAUUUCAGGUGUAGCGGUGAAAUGCGUAGAGAUCUGAAGGAAUACCGGUGGCGAAGGCGGCCCCCUGGACAGAUACUGACACUCAGAUGCGAAAGCGUGGGGAGCAAACAGGAUUAGAUACCCUGGUAGUCCACGCCGUAAACGAUGUCUACUUGGAGGUUGUGGCCUUGAGCCGUGGCUUUCGGAGCUAACGCGUUAAGUAGACCGCCUGGGGAGUACGGUCGCAAGAUUAAAACUCAAAUGAAUUGACGGGGGCCCGCACAAGCGGUGGAGCAUGUGGUUUAAUUCGAUGCAACGCGAAGAACCUUACCUACUCUUGACAUCCAGAGAACUUAGCAGAGAUGCUUUGGUGCCUUCGGGAACUCUGAGACAGGUGCUGCAUGGCUGUCGUCAGCUCGUGUUGUGAAAUGUUGGGUUAAGUCCCGCAACGAGCGCAACCCUUAUCCUUGUUUGCCAGCACUUCGGGUGGGAACUCCAGGGAGACUGCCGGUGAUAAACCGGGAGGAAGGUGGGGACCGACGUCAAGUCAUCAUGGCCCUUACGAGUUAGGGCUACACACGUGACUACAGAUGCGCGCAUACAGAGGGCAGCCAACUUGCGAAAGUGAGACGAAUCCCAAAAAGUGCGUCUGUAGUCCGGAUUGUGAAAGGUCUGCAACUCGACUCCAUGAAGUCGGAAUCGCUAGUAAUCGUGGAUCAGAAUGCCACGGUGAAUACGUACUCCAAGG
Molecule: ribosomal RNA, 1352 nt
Filed under: Vibrio ponticus
Lineage: Bacteria; Pseudomonadati; Pseudomonadota; Gammaproteobacteria; Vibrionales; Vibrionaceae
Description: bacterial SSU rRNA
Rfam family: Bacterial small subunit ribosomal RNA
Source: RNAcentral